RNAcentral lists this ribosomal RNA (460 nucleotides) under uncultured bacterium. Its description in RNAcentral is "partial 16S ribosomal RNA". It matches the Rfam family "Bacterial small subunit ribosomal RNA", at positions 338 to 795 of the family's 1533-position model. The record is from RNAcentral.
CCUACGGGUGGCAGUAGUGAGGAAUAUUGGUCAAUGGACGAGAGUCUGAACCAGCCAAGUAGCGUGAAGGAUGACUGCCCUAUGGGUUGUAAACUUCUUUUAUAUGGGAAUAAAAUGUUCCACGUGUGGGAUUUUGUAUGUACCAUAUGAAUAAGGAUCGGCUAACUCCGUGCCAGCAGCCGCGAUAAUACGGAGGAUCCGAGCGUUAUCCGGAUUUAUUGGGUUUAAAGGGAGCGUAGGUGGAUUGUUAAGUCAGUUGUGAAAGUUUGCGGCUCAACCGUAAAAUUGCAGUUGAAACUGGCAGUCUUGAGUACAGUAGAGGUGGGCGGAAUUCGUGGUGUAGCGGUGAAAUGCUUAGAUAUCACGAAGAACUCCGAUUGCGAAGGCAGUUCACUGGACUGCAACUGACACUGAGGCUCGAAAGUGAGGGUAUCAAACAGGAUUAGAUACCCCUGUAGUC